GUUAGUUGGUAAGGUAACGGCUUACCAAGACAAUGAUACGUAGCCGACCUGAGAGGGUAAUCGGCCACAUUGGGACUGAGACACGGCCCAAACUCCUACGGGAGGCAGCAGUAGGGAAUCUUCCACAAUGGACGAAAGUCUGAUGGAGCAACGCCGCGUGAGUGAAGAAGGUUUUAGGAUCGUAAAACUCUGUUGUUGGAGAAGAACAGGGACUAGAGUAACUGUUAGUCCUUUGACGGUAUCCAACCAGAAAGCCACGGCUAACUACGUGCCAGCAGCCGCGGUAAUACGUAGGUGGCAAGCGUUGUCCGGAUUUAUUGGGCGUAAAGCGAGCGCAGGCGGUUUUUUAAGUCUGAUGUGAAAGCCUUCGGCUUAACCGAAGAAGUGCAUUAGAAACUGGGAAACUUGAGUGCAGAAGAGGACAGUGGAACUCCAUGUGUAGCGGUGAAAUGCGUAGAUAUAUGGAAGAACACCAGUGGCGAAGGCGGCUGUCUGGUCUGUAACUGACGCUGAGGCUCGAAAGUAUGGGGAGCGAACAGGAUUAGAUACCCUGGUAGUCCAUACCGUAAACGAUGAAUGCUAAGUGUUGGAGGGUUUCCGCCCUUCAGUGCUGCAGCUAACGCAUUAAGCAUUCCGCCUGGGGAGUACGACCGCAAGG
RNAcentral lists this ribosomal RNA (658 nucleotides) under Loigolactobacillus coryniformis subsp. torquens. RNAcentral's name for it is "bacterial SSU rRNA". It matches the Rfam family "Bacterial small subunit ribosomal RNA", at positions 244 to 893 of the family's 1533-position model. The record is from RNAcentral. Lineage: Bacteria; Bacillati; Bacillota; Bacilli; Lactobacillales; Lactobacillaceae.